Molecule: ribosomal RNA, 449 nt
Filed under: uncultured organism
Description: partial 16S ribosomal RNA
Rfam family: Bacterial small subunit ribosomal RNA
Source: RNAcentral
CACUCCUGCGGGAGGCAGCAGUGGGGAAUAUUGGACAAUGGGCGCAAGCCUGAUCCAGCCAUGCCGCGUGAGUGAUGAAGGCCCUAGGGUUGUAAAGCUCUUUCACCGGUGAAGAUAAUGACGGUAACCGGAGAAGAAGCCCCGGCUAACUUCGUGCCAGCAGCCGCGGUAAUACGAAGGGGGCUAGCGUUGUUCGGAUUUACUGGGCGUAAAGCGCACGUAGGCGGACUAUUAAGUCAGGGGUGAAAUCCCGGGGCUCAACCCCGGAACUGCCUUUGAUACUGGUAGUCUUGAGUUCGAGAGAGGUGAGUGGAAUUCCUGGUGUAGAGGUGAAAUUCGUAGAUAUUCGGAGGAACACCAGUGGCGAAGGCGGCUCACUGGCUCGAUACUGACGCUGAGGUGCGAAAGCGUGGGGAGCAAACAGGAUUAGAUACCCGUGUAGUCCCAUG